This 961-nucleotide long non-coding RNA is filed under the name Gallus gallus (chicken). The record is from RNAcentral. Lineage: Eukaryota; Metazoa; Chordata; Aves; Galliformes; Phasianidae.
AGAAUUUAGGAUAAGAAAUAUAAGUGCUGUAAUGUUCCUUCUUAGGCUGUCUUACUGGAAGUACGCUAAUAGUAGCGAGAUGCCCACUGCAGAGCCUAGUGCUCAUAUACCCUAUUAUAUGCUUGAGGAGGCAGCAAGUGACCAUGAAUUGAAUAUUUUCAAAGAUUUGGACUGUGUGAUUGGCACCUUCUCUUGGCAUGUCAACUCUGCCCACCCCUCCCUUCCAUGGUAUUGGUUGUGCCGAUGCUCUGCAUUGGCAGUGAAGUGAUCGCAUCUGGUAAGAAAGUCCAGCUCUCAAAGAACCACUGUGGGGGGAAGGACCUAAAUGGUAAAUGGGAAUUUCCCCCUUUUGUUAACUCUGCUUUUCUGCAAGAAGUCAGCAAAGACAGGUAUGUAAAUAAUUCCUUGUGGAGAGGAGUGGUUCUCAACUAUUUUGUCGGUGAAUGAUUUUGUUCUUUUGAGGUACGAGCACAUGCUGUUUGGCUACACGUGUAUUUAAAGAUUGGGACGUCUUGAAAAGGAAUUAACUCCAGUCCUAGGAUUUGUUAACUGACAAGAAAAAGCUAUUUCUUUAAUGUUACUUUAAUGUCACUGAAGGCAAGCAUGGGUUCACGUUUCUGAAAUGCUUUUGCAUGUUUGUUUGUUUUCUUGCAAGUAAUGUUGAUUGGUUUUAUUUCUUUCUUCAAGAGCAAUAAACUUCUUAUAUUGUUUCAAGGCUUAAUAUGGCCACAGCUACAGAUUAACACGCUGGCUUACUUCAUCCUGUCAUCUCUGCUGCUUAGUGGGGAAAGCAGGCUGACAUGGUUAUUAAAUCUGGCAGCUGUGUUGUAUUGCACAUGGGCAGCAAGUAGAGCACAGCAUAUAGAGAAUGAGUAGCUUUCAGUUAACAGCCUUCAUUUCGCUGCCACAAGGCUUGAAAGACAGACUCAAAAGCCCUUUCUCCUUUUUGUAAUCACCAGUU